ACAAACUUGGUCAUUUAGAGGAAGUAAAAGUCGUAACAAGGUUUCCGUAGGUGAACCUGCGGAAGGAUCAUUAAUAAGAGUUUCUUUUGGGCUCUUGGUCGUUUCGGCCGUGAGCUUUUAAAGAUUAACCCUCUUGUGCACGGUUCUCGUAUGCCUUGGCAGAGCUUUGGUCGUAAUGAUCAACUUUCCGCUGGCCCCUAUCCGACCAAUUAUUUUUGGGUGGACGGGCCUGGUCGGUGAAGCGGCCUGCCAAAGGUUUAAAACACACGUAAAUUUUUAGCCUGAAACUUGUAAAUUAUAAAUGAAAUAUAUAUAACUUUCAACAACGGAUCUCUUGGCUCUCGCAUCGAUGAAGAACGCAGC
RNAcentral lists this unclassified non-coding RNA (363 nucleotides) under uncultured fungus. RNAcentral's name for it is "partial contains small subunit ribosomal RNA, internal transcribed spacer 1, and 5.8S ribosomal RNA". The stretch from base 1 to 73 matches the Rfam family "Eukaryotic small subunit ribosomal RNA", at positions 1759 to 1831 of the family's 1831-position model. Lineage: Eukaryota; Fungi. The record is from RNAcentral.